RNAcentral lists this long non-coding RNA (495 nucleotides) under Pan paniscus (pygmy chimpanzee). Its description in RNAcentral is "lncRNA (ENSPPAG00000044363.1)". Lineage: Eukaryota; Metazoa; Chordata; Mammalia; Primates; Hominidae. The record is from RNAcentral.
GGAUAAUAUCCCACACACAAAGGUGAGAAUUAAGUAAAUAAUCUUCUCUUGACCAUCCUCUCUUCCAUCUUCCUCUAGCUCCUUUCAACUUAUGACCGCAACAAUGAAUCUUAAAUAAACUGCUUCAAAGUCGUCAUAAUGAAGUAACUGAUAGGAUAGUACUGGCAGCCACAUUGAUGAUAAUGAACCUGAGGAUGAAGAAGCUCUGUUUGGAUGGACACGUGGGGGUGAUCUGGGACAUAGAAACCUGGAAAAGCUGAUGAAAGCUGAUUUUCCCUUGAAGAAGACAUUUGGAAUGAAGCAAUGUGACCUUUAAUCACCCUCAGACCUCUUUUUGUUCUUGUUCCAGGACAUUCUGUAAGUAAAAAUUCCCAGCCUCCUCUGUUCUUUUGUCUUCAUUUUAUAUGCCUUUGGUGUUUGAGUUGAGUUUUCUGUUGUUUAGUGGUGGAUUUUGAGGGGGUUUUAUCGUGGUAGGACAGAUAUGUUUGAGGGGAG